GAUCAUGGCUCAGGAUGAACGCUAGCUACAGGCUUAACACAUGCAAGUCGAGGGGCAGCAUUUCAGUUUGCUUGCAAACUGGAGAUGGCGACCGGCGCACGGGUGAGUAACACGUAUCCAACCUGCCGAUAACUCGGGGAUAGCCUUUCGAAAGAAAGAUUAAUACCCGAUGGUAUAAUCAGACCGCAUGGUCUUGUUAUUAAAGUAAUUUCGGUUUAUCGAUGGGGUAGUGCGUUCCUAUUAGG
RNAcentral lists this ribosomal RNA (245 nucleotides) under uncultured bacterium. Its description in RNAcentral is "partial 16S ribosomal RNA". It matches the Rfam family "Bacterial small subunit ribosomal RNA", at positions 15 to 245 of the family's 1533-position model. The record is from RNAcentral.